Octopus bimaculoides (California two-spot octopus) is the source of this 472-nucleotide long non-coding RNA. The record is from RefSeq and is a predicted model, not a curated record. Lineage: Eukaryota; Metazoa; Mollusca; Cephalopoda; Octopoda; Octopodidae.
AGAGGGGUGGGAGAAGAACGUGCAGUUACAGCAAUCGUGCACUUGAAUGGAAGUUUACUCGUGUGAAUAGAAAGAUAUAUUUAAAAAUAUCGAUUGAACUCUUACCUGGUUUGCGUAACUUCUACCAAUAUUGAAGUCGUUUCUGAAUUAUCUGAAAAGAUUUAAUGGCUGUGUGAUAAGAAGUUUGCUUCCCAACCACAUGUUUCUGGGUUCACUCCCACUGAGUGGCACCUUGAGCAGAUGUUUUCUACUAUAUACUGAGGCUGACCAAAGCCUUGUGAAUGUAUUUGGUAGAUAGAAAGUAAAAGAAACCUGCCAUAUGUAUGUGUAUCUAUGUAUGUCUUUGUAUUUGUCCACUAUCACCACUUAGCAACAGGUGUUGGUUUGUUUACAUCCCUGUAACUUAGCAUUUUGGCAUGAGAGACCAAGAGAAUAAGUAUCAGACUUUAAAAUAAAAAAAUUUUAAGCAGUU